AUUGAACGCUGGCGGCAGGCCUAACACAUGCAAGUCGAGCGGAGCGGCGGACGGGUGAGUAAUUCCUAGGAAUCUGCCUGGUAGUGGGGGAGAACGUCCGGAACCGGGCGCUAAUACCGCAUCCUAUCACAUGAGCCUAGGUCGAAUUAGCGAGUUGGUGGGGUAAAGGCCUACCAAGGCGACGAUCCGUAACUGGUCUGAGAGGAUGAUCAGUCACACUGGAACUGAGACACGGUCCAGACUCCGACGGGAGGCAGGAGUGGGGAAUAUUGGAAAAGGGGCGAAAGCCGGAGCCAGCCAUGCCGCGUGUGUGAAGAAGGACUUCGGGUUGUAAAGCACUUUAAGUUGGGAGGCGUUACCAACAGAAUAAGCACCGGCUAACUUCGUGCCAGCAGCCGCGGUAAUAC
RNAcentral lists this ribosomal RNA (407 nucleotides) under uncultured bacterium. Its description in RNAcentral is "partial 16S ribosomal RNA". It matches the Rfam family "Bacterial small subunit ribosomal RNA", at positions 30 to 526 of the family's 1533-position model. The record is from RNAcentral.